UGCAGUCGAGCGGAGUGNUGGUGCUUGCACUAUCACUUAGCGGCGGACGGGUGAGUAAUGCUUAGGAAUCUGCCUAUUAGUGGGGGACAACAUUUCGAAAGGAAUGCUAAUACCGCAUACGUCCUACGGGAGAAAGCAGGGGAUCUUCGGACCUUGCGCUAAUAGAUGAGCCUAAGUCGGAUUAGCUAGUUGGUGGGGUAAAGGCCUACCAAGGCGACGAUCUGUAGCGGGUCUGAGAGGAUGAUCCGCCACACUGGGACUGAGACACGGCCCAGACUCCUACGGGAGGCAGCAGUGGGGAAUAUUGGACAAUGGGCGCAAGCCUGAUCCAGCCAUGCCGCGUGUGUGAAGAAGGCCUUAUGGUUGUAAAGCACUUUAAGCGAGGAGGAGGCUACUGAAGUUAAUACCUUCAGAUAGUGGACGUUACUCGCAGAAUAAGCACCGGCUAACUCUGUGCCAGCAGCCGCGGUAAUACAGAGGGUGCAAGCGUUAAUCGGAUUUACUGGGCGUAAAGCGCGCGUAGGCGGCUAAUUAAGUCAAAUGUGAAAUCCCCGAGCUUAACUUGGGAAUUGCAUUCGAUACUGGUUAGCUAGAGUGUGGGAGAGGAUGGUAGAAUUCCAGGUGUAGCGGUGAAAUGCGUAGAGAUCUGGAGGAAUACCGAUGGCGAAGGCAGCCAUCUGGCCUAACACUGACGCUGAGGUGCGAAAGCAUGGGGAGCAAACAGGAUUAGAUACCCUGGUAGUCCAUGCCGUAAACGAUGUCUACUAGCCGUUGGGGCCUUUGAGGCUUUAGUGGCGCAGCUAACGCGAUAAGUAGACCGCCUGGGGAGUACGGUCGCAAGACUAAAACUCAAAUGAAUUGACGGGGGCCCGCACAAGCGGUGGAGCAUGUGGUUUAAUUCGAUGCAACGCGAAGAACCUUACCUGGNCCUUGACAUAGUAAGAACUUUCCAGAGAUGGAUUGGUGCCUUCGGGAACUUACAUACAGGUGCUGCAUGGCUGUCGUCAGCUCGUGUCGUGAGAUGUUGGGUUAAGUCCCGCAACGAGCGCAACCCUUUUCCUUAUUUGCCAGCGAGUAAUGUCGGGAACUUUAAGGAUACUGCCAGUGACAAACUGGAGGAAGGCGGGGACGACGUCAAGUCAUCAUGGCCCUUACGGCCAGGGCUACACACGUGCUACAAUGGUCGGUACAAAGGGUUGCUACCUAGCGAUAGGAUGCUAAUCUCAAAAA
Molecule: ribosomal RNA, 1230 nt
Filed under: Acinetobacter sp.
Lineage: Bacteria; Pseudomonadati; Pseudomonadota; Gammaproteobacteria; Moraxellales; Moraxellaceae
Description: bacterial SSU rRNA
Rfam family: Bacterial small subunit ribosomal RNA
Source: RNAcentral